RNAcentral lists this ribosomal RNA (253 nucleotides) under uncultured bacterium. RNAcentral describes it as "partial 16S ribosomal RNA". It matches the Rfam family "Bacterial small subunit ribosomal RNA", at positions 524 to 776 of the family's 1533-position model. The record is from RNAcentral.
UACGAGGGGGGCGAGCGUUGUUCGGAAUUAUUGGGCGUAAAGGGUGCGUAGGCGGUUUGGUAAGUCUUAUGUGAAAUCUACAGGCUCAACUUGUAGUCUGCAUGAGAAACGGCCGGGCUUGAGUGUGGGAGAGGUGAGUGGAAUUCCUGGUGUAGCGGUGAAAUGCGUAGAUAUCAGGAGGAACACCUGCGGUGUAGACGGCUUUCUGGACCAUUGCUGACGCUGAGACACGAAAGCGUGGGUAGCAAACAGG